RNAcentral lists this ribosomal RNA (481 nucleotides) under uncultured bacterium. Its description in RNAcentral is "partial 16S ribosomal RNA". It matches the Rfam family "Bacterial small subunit ribosomal RNA", at positions 28 to 507 of the family's 1533-position model. The record is from RNAcentral.
GAUGAACGCUGGCGGCGUGCUUAACACAUGCAAGUCGAACGAAGCACUUUAUUUGAUUUCCUUCGGGACUGAUUAUUUUGUGACUGAGUGGCGGACGGGUGAGUAACGCGUGGGUAACCUGCCUUGUACAGGGGGAUAACAGUUGGAAACGGCUGCUAAUACCGCAUAAGCGCACAGCAUCGCAUGAUGCAGUGUGAAAAACUCCGGCGGUAUAAGAUGGACCCGCGUUGGAUUAGCUAGUUGGUGCGGUAACGGCCCACCAAGGCGACGAUCCAUAGCCGAACUGAGAGGGUGACCGGCCACAUUGGGACUGAGACACGGCCCAAACUCCUACGGGAGGCAGCAGUGGGGAAUAUUGCACAAUGGGCGAAAGCCUGAUGCAGCGACGCCGCGUGAGCGAAGAAGUAUUUCGGUAUGUAAAGCUCUAUCAGCAGGGAAGAUAAUGACGGUACCUGACUAAGAAGCACCGGCUAAAUACGUG